UUAAGCAGCUUAAAAAUAAAAAUAGCAGGGCCAGAUUUGCAGGAACAGAUGUGAACAUUAUAGCAGCAGUUUGAUGUUCAUGUAUGACACUGCAAACAGGA
RNAcentral lists this small nucleolar RNA (101 nucleotides) under Vicugna pacos (alpaca). RNAcentral describes it as "Small Cajal body specific RNA 16 (ENSVPAG00000018049.1)". The record is from RNAcentral. Lineage: Eukaryota; Metazoa; Chordata; Mammalia; Artiodactyla; Camelidae.